RNAcentral lists this ribosomal RNA (467 nucleotides) under uncultured bacterium. RNAcentral describes it as "partial 16S ribosomal RNA". It matches the Rfam family "Bacterial small subunit ribosomal RNA", at positions 28 to 507 of the family's 1533-position model. The record is from RNAcentral.
GAUGAACGCUGGCGGCGUGCUUAACACAUGCAAGUCGAACGGAAAGGCCCAAGCUUGCUUGGGUACUCGAGUGGCGCACGGGUGAGUAACACGUGGGUGAUCUGCCCUGCACUUCGGGAUAAGCCUGGGAAACUGGGUCUAAUACCGGAUAGGACCACUUCUUGGAUGUUGUGGUGGGAAGUUUUUUCGGUGUGGGAUGAGCUCGCGGCCUAUCAGCUUGUUGGUGGGGUAAUGGCCUACCAAGGCGUCGACGGGUAGCCGGCCUGUGAGGGUGCACGGCCACAUUGGGACUGAGGUGCGGCCCAGACUCCUACGGGAGGCAGAAGGGGGGAAUAUUGCACGAUGGGCGCAGGCCGGAUGCAGCGACGCCGCGGGGGGGAGGACGGCCUUAGGGUUGUAGACUCCUUUCGCUAGGGACGAAGCGUUUUGUGACGGUACCUGGAGAAGAAGCACCGGCUAACUACGUG